GUGGGGAAUAUUGGACAAUGGGCGAAAGCCUGAUCCAGCAAUGCCGCGUGAGUGAUGAAGGCCUUAGGGUUGUAAAGCUCUUUUACCCGGGAUGAUAAUGACAGUACCGGGAGAAUAAGCUCCGGCUAACUCCGUGCCAGCAGCCGCGGUAAUACGGAGGGAGCUAGCGUUGUUCGGAAUUACUGGGCGUAAAGCGCCCGUAGGCGGCUUUGUAAGUUAGAGGUGAAAGCCUGGAGCUUAACUCCAGAACUGCCUUUAAGACUGCAUCGCUUGAAUCCAGGAGAGGUGAGUGGAAUUCCGAGUGUAGAGGUGAAAUUCGUAGAUAUUCGGAAGAACACCAGUGGCGAAGGCGGCUCACUGGACUGGUAUUGACGCUGAGGUGCGAAAGCGUGGGGAGCAAACAGGAUUAGAUACCCGGGUAGUCC
This 425-nucleotide ribosomal RNA is filed under the name uncultured bacterium. RNAcentral's name for it is "bacterial SSU rRNA". It matches the Rfam family "Bacterial small subunit ribosomal RNA", at positions 354 to 796 of the family's 1533-position model. The record is from RNAcentral.